AAAUUGAAGAGUUUGAUCAUGGCUCAGAUUGAACGCUGGCGGCAGGCCUAACACAUGCAAGUCGAACGGUAACAGGAAGCAGCUUGCUGCUUCGCUGACGAGUGGCGGACGGGUGAGUAAUGUCUGGGAAACUGCCUGAUGGAGGGGGAUAACUACUGGAAACGGUGGCUAAUACCGCAUAACGUCGCAAGACCAAAGAGGGGGACCUUCGGGCCUCUUGCCAUCAGAUGUGCCCAGAUGGGAUUAGCUUGUUGGUGAGGUAACGGCUCACCAAGGCGACGAUCCCUAGCUGGUCUGAGAGGAUGACCAGCCACACUGGAACUGAGACACGGUCCAGACUCCUACGGGAGGCAGCAGUGGGGAAUAUUGCACA
Molecule: ribosomal RNA, 373 nt
Filed under: Salmonella enterica
Lineage: Bacteria; Pseudomonadati; Pseudomonadota; Gammaproteobacteria; Enterobacterales; Enterobacteriaceae
Description: bacterial SSU rRNA
Rfam family: Bacterial small subunit ribosomal RNA
Source: RNAcentral